GACGAACGCUGGCGGCGUGCUUAACACAUGCAAGUCGAACGGAAAGGCCCCUUUGGGGGUACUCGAGUGGCGAACGGGUGAGUAACACGUGAGUAACCUGCCCUUGACUUCGGGAUAACUUCAGGAAACUGGGGCUAAUACCGGAUAGGAAUCCUUGCUGCAUGGUGGGGGUUGGAAAGCUUCGGCGGUUUUGGAUGGACUCGCGGCUUAUCAGCUUGUUGGUGGGGUAGUGGCUUACCAAGGCUUUGACGGGUAGCCGGCCUGAGAGGGCGACCGGCCACAGUGGGACUGAGAUAGGGCCCAGACUCCUACGGGAGGCAGCAGUGGGGAAGAUUGCACAAUGGGCGGAAGCCUGAUGCAGCAACGCCGCGGGCGGGAUGACGGCCUUCGGGUUGUAAACCGCUUUCAGCAGGGGCGAAGCUUGUGGUGACGGUACCUGCAGAAGAAGCACCGGCUAACUACGUG
Molecule: ribosomal RNA, 465 nt
Filed under: uncultured bacterium
Lineage: Bacteria
Description: partial 16S ribosomal RNA
Rfam family: Bacterial small subunit ribosomal RNA
Source: RNAcentral